RNAcentral lists this long non-coding RNA (830 nucleotides) under Pan troglodytes (chimpanzee). RNAcentral describes it as "lincRNA". Lineage: Eukaryota; Metazoa; Chordata; Mammalia; Primates; Hominidae. The record is from RNAcentral.
UAAAAUGGGCUAACACUGAAAGAACCUUGCAGAAUCUCAGCAACGUCACAGUGGACAUUGUUAGCACAGCCAGCGGGCUCCUGCUGGGCUGAGUUUGUGGGUAAUCCAAGCCUCGGCAGGUACAGUUCCUCCCUCAGGGCCCAGGACACAGUGAGCAUACAAUAGACAUUAGCUGCUGUGGUGUCUUGAUUUCAAGCCCAGUGCAGUUGCAUCUGACUUACGAAACUUCAGUGACACCUGCUCUGUGCCAGACACUGAAGAUGGAGCAGUGAACAGCACUGACCCAGCCUGUCCUCCUGUUGCCUGCAGGCCAGAAGCAAGGUCUCGCUGUGUUACCCGGGCUGGAGUGCAGUGGCUACUUACAGGCAUGAUCAUAGCAUACUGCAGCCUCGAACUCCUGGACUAAAGCAGUUCUCCUGCCUCAGCCUCCAGAGCAGCUGGGACUGCAGACACGCACCACAGAGCCCAGCCUGAGUCAUUUUGAUUCUGUAACUGGCUUCCUCUCGGCGGGCAGGCUCACACCCUCCACCCCCAGCUGGAGAUGGAAGGAGGAUGCUCACCAUCCAUUCCUCAUGCAGGCCAUCGAUGGAAAUGUCAGACAGUGCGAGUCCAUGCCUGAACACUUCUGGGGUCCGCUCUGGGACUGACACUGGCAGAUCCAUCGAUGCCGUUCCAUUGUUUGCUGACUUGCAUUGAUUCUAUGAGAAGUCUGCAGUCUUUUGCAGCAUUGUUUUCCUAUGUAUAAUUGUCUCCUCCCACCCCACUCACCCCAGCUGCUUUCCACAUUCUCUCUCUUUGAUUUUCAGCAGUCUGCCCAUGAUGUGCCUAAA